This 525-nucleotide ribosomal RNA is filed under the name Boophis madagascariensis (Madagascar bright-eyed frog). RNAcentral describes it as "partial 16S ribosomal RNA". It matches the Rfam family "Bacterial large subunit ribosomal RNA", at positions 1857 to 2597 of the family's 2925-position model. The record is from RNAcentral. Lineage: Eukaryota; Metazoa; Chordata; Amphibia; Anura; Mantellidae.
GCCUGCCCGGUGACAGAUUUAACGGCCGCGGUACCCUAACCGUGCGAAGGUMGCAUAAUCACUUGUUCUUUAAAUGAGGACUCGUAUCAACGGCAUCACGAGGAUCCUACUGUCUCCCCCCUCURAUCGGUGAAACUGAUCUCUCCGUGAAGAAGCGGAGAUGUACAUAUAAGACGAGAAGACCCCAUGGAGCUUUAAACCCAACAACACCCGCCCCUCUCCAAAUCCUAUUAUUUUCCCGGUGAUUGUUUGUUUGGUUUUAGGUUGGGGUGACCGCGGAGUAUAAGAUAUCCUCCAUGAAAAAAAGCUAACUGCCCUUAUUAGAGAAAGACACUUCCAAAAAAUAAUAAAUUAAUUUUAAAUGAUCCGACMUUCGAUCAACGAACCAAGUUACCCUGGGGAUAACAGCGCAMUCCGUCCCGAGAGCCCCUAUCGACAGGCGGGUUUACGACCUCGAUGUUGGAUCAGGGUAUCCUAGUGGUGCAGCAGCUACUAAAGGUUCGUUUGUUCAACGAUUAAAACCCU